RNAcentral lists this ribosomal RNA (253 nucleotides) under uncultured bacterium. Its description in RNAcentral is "partial 16S ribosomal RNA". It matches the Rfam family "Bacterial small subunit ribosomal RNA", at positions 524 to 776 of the family's 1533-position model. The record is from RNAcentral.
UACGUAGGGCGCAAGCGUUGUCCGGAAUUAUUGGGCGUAAAGAGCUCGUAGGCGGUCUGUUGCGUCGGGAGUGAAAACUUACAGCUUAACUGUGAGCGUGCUUUCGAUACGGGCAGACUUGAGGCAUUCAGGGGAGAACGGAAUUCCAGGUGUAGCGGUGAAAUGCGUAGAUAUCUGGAGGAAUACCGGUGGCGAAGGCGGCAUCCUGGACCGACAUUGACGCUGAGGAGCGAAAGCCAGGGGAGCAAACGGG